Drosophila albomicans is the source of this 864-nucleotide long non-coding RNA. RefSeq lists it as uncharacterized. The record is from RefSeq and is a predicted model, not a curated record. The transcript is spliced from 4 exons. NCBI's taxonomy places the organism in Eukaryota, Metazoa, Arthropoda, Insecta, Diptera, Drosophilidae.
UUCACCGAUCAGUGACGAUAACUAAUUUACAGACAGAGAGACACUUAAAUAAUACGAAGAGUAUGUCACGAAAACUAAACUUUAUUAAUCUGUGCCUGGUGUCGUUCUUAUGGAUGUGGCUAAUUGUUGGUGGAAUGGCUAUAGCAUUUACUCGUAGAAGCCAUUAUUAUCCGUGCGCAGAACAGAAUGGACAAUGCAUGACUUCUUGCAGUUCUAAAUUAAAGAGAUAUUCCACUGACUGUGGUGAUCGGAAAUGGUGCUGUGUUUCGAUUUAGAUUGCUUAUCUAUGAAAUUGUAAUACCAUCAGCAAUAAAAAAUAAUAUAACAUAAUUACAAUAGUGUAAUUUGCCUGAAUAACUGCUUUGCUUUGAUUUUGCUUUCUUGUGUAUAUCAUUUUAUUUGUUUGGAACGUAAUUUGUAUAUUUUCAAAAGUGAUGUUCUAAUUGAAAUUGAAGUGCAAUAAAUAAAAUAACAAUUUUUGUUAAUAAUCGCAUCUCUACAUUCUGCAUUUCGAUGUUACUUCAGCGAGAAGUGACGAUAACUAAAAUACAGGCAGAAAGAAACUUAAUUAAUACGAGAAUUAUGUCAUCCAAACUAAAAUUGAUAAGCCUGUGGAUUGUGUUGUCGUUACUGAUAUUGCUAAUUGCCUGCGGAAGUGCGAGAUCCCAGAAACUAACGUGCCACGAACAGCAAGGAGAAUGCAUGCCUUUUUGCAAUGUUCAAUUGCAAAAAAAUGCCACCGACUGCCGCAAGGACCAAGUAUGCUGUGUUUUGGUUUAAAUUGCUCUUCUAUGAAAUUUUCAUACUAUCAGCAAUAAAAAAUAAUAUAACAUAAUUACACUUUAAUAGUGUAAUUUGAGUGAA